CAAUAAAUGGCUCUUUCGGUGCUUUUCGGUUUUCCUAAACAAUCCUUCUCAACAAAUAAUAAGCGUUGUUUAUUUCAUUUCACUUUUUAACAUGUUCACCAACAAAGGUAGUGGAGGGCUUUUGUUUGGGCGGAAGCCUUUACCAUGAAUGUAUAGCUCUUUGAUGGACAUACACGUUAGCAAUGCCAUAUCUGGGAACAUUUUGAACCUGAUUGUGAACCUGAAUCCCAUCAUCCUCGUCAGAGUCACUCUGAGACCCCAUCUGAGUCACAACACUACCAGUCUGUGUCUGUGGUUCCAGCUGAGUCACAACAGGAAUGCAACCAGGACUCCCUGAGAGACCCCUUUCAUUGGCUGUUUCCAUCUCCUGCUUUCUGGCAUCACAUAACCCUGCCUCCCAGUGCCGACGGUCAACAUCACAUGUGAGACGGAUGGAAUAAGCAAUCUGAAUCAGCCACCCGCACAAUCAAAGGUGUCAGUACAUCAAGAGCAGCAAAAAAAAUGGUGGCAAUGUUUUUCUCCCUGUUUAAAAAGUAGAACACCUUGCCAAGCAUCAGCUGAGCCCUCUAAAUCUUGAUUUUGCACAUCUGCCGAUGCACAGAGAGAAAUCAUGAUGCAUGAGAAAUGCCCUAUUUAUAAUACUCUCAUCUCCUUUCCUAUGCAGUGUGAAGAUGUAUAGGGAUACACUUUCUCACCAAAGCUCGCUUUUUCAUUUUGCUACAUCACGCUUGUUGUUAAAACCCAAGCUGGAAUCCUGGGGCAAGCAGAAAUAUUUUUCCCACCAAAUAUCUCUGCCCAAAAUGGCAAUAACAACAUCCAUAUUUUUUAAAAGAAUACCAUGUGUUUACCUUGUUUCAAAUGUGCAAUGGCAGAGGAGAAUACCCACAGAUAAAUCCACAAAUAUUAAACACAAAUAUCCCCUCUUUCAUCCAUUUUCUCAUUUACCAGUGAUUGCAGUGUUUUGAACAGACAGCUGCUAAAUUGAAUUUCUGAUAUUACAAUAUACAAGAUUUCAGCAGACAGUGCAAUAUUCGUUCAUAUAUGCGUAAAUGGAUGUGUCUCUUUAUGUGUUGUUCUAGAUAAAUGUAUGGGCAGAAAAACACAGAUACAUAUAUGAAUAUAUAUUAAUCAUCUGCUGUUUAGCAGGCCAAAUAAUUUUACACUGUUAUUUUUAUUGUCUUUUUAUACAGAGAGACUACACAUGCUUCUAAAGCUACCACCACAAUCCGCUUUUAUAAAUCUGAAAUAUAUAAGAUAGUUCUGUAGUGCAUCAGGCUGGAUCUACACUGCCCUAUAUCCCAUGAUCUGAUCCCAGAUUAUCUGAUUUGAACUAGAUUAUAUGAGUCCACUCCCAGAUAAUCUGGGAUAAACAGAUAAUCUGGGAUCAGAUCCUAGGAUAUAGGGCAGCGUAGAUCCAGCCCCAAAGCAUUCUAAAUGUCUCAGAUAUAAGAUUGGACUCACCCAAGUAAUCAACAAGCAAGCCAUCCUUUCACACUAUACAAGGAAGCAUUCUUGCACCAACCUUGUUUAAUAUCUUUACUAACGAUCAGCCACAACCACCACAAACAGAGAGCUUUAUAUGUGCUGAUAACCUUGGCCUAACAACACAAGCAAAAGACUUUGAAACAGUUGAAAUCCAACUUACUAAUGCCUUGAAAGAUCUCUCCAGCUACUGCAAAGAUAACCACCUGAAGCCUAACCCUGCCAAGACACAAGUGUGUGCUUUCCACCUACACAACCGUGAAGCCAACAGGAAAUUGAAAGUCACCUGGGAAAGUCAAGAGCUUGAACAUUGUUUCCAUCCUAAAUAUCUCGGUGUCACCUUAGAUCGAACACUAGCAUAUAGGAAACACUGCUUGGACACCAAGCACAAAGUAGCUGCGCACAAUAACAUCCUGCGGAAACUUACUGACAGCACAUGGGGUGCAGACCCAAAAUUAAUAAGAGCAUCAGCCCUAGCCUUGUCUUACUCAACUACCGAGUAUGCCUGCCCUGUUUGGCAUAAGUCUGCCCAUGCAAAGCAGGUGAACAUAGCAUUGAACGAAACAUGCAGAAAAAUCACAGAAUGUCUUAAACUUACACCUGUUGAUAAACUCUGCAAACUAACUGGCAUUGCCCCCCCCCCCGAUGUGCAAUGGGAAGUUGCUGCUAAAUGUGAGAGAAAUAAGGUUGAACACUGUGAAAGCCAUCCACUACAUGGCUACCAGCCUCCUCCCAGUAGACUCAAAUCAAGGAAAAGCUUUAUGAGAACUACCACUCCUCUUGGCAUCCCCCCAGCAACAGCAAGGGUAUCCCUCUGGGCAGCUAAACCAGGAAAUCCCAACUGGAUGCCCCCCCCCCCACGAGGGUCUUCCUCCAGGGGCAAACCAAGAAUGGGCAACUUGGAAGUCCCUGAACAGACUC
This is a long non-coding RNA of Anolis sagrei ordinatus, 2403 nucleotides long. RefSeq lists it as uncharacterized. NCBI's taxonomy places the organism in Eukaryota, Metazoa, Chordata, Lepidosauria, Squamata, Anolidae. The record is from RefSeq and is a predicted model, not a curated record.